UACAGAGGGUGCGAGCGUUGUCCGGAAUCACUGGGCGUAAAGGGCGCGUAGGCGGCCUGGUAAGUGUGUGGUGAAAGUCCGGGGCUCAACCCCGGGUCGGCCGUGCAAACUGCCGGGCUGGAGCACAGUAGAGGCAGGUGGAACUCCGGGUGUAGCGGUGGAAUGCGUAGAGAUCCGGAAGAACACCGAUGGCGAAGGCAGCCUGCUGGGCUGUAGCUGACGCUGAGGCGCGAGAGCGUGGGGAGCAAACAGG
This 253-nucleotide ribosomal RNA is filed under the name uncultured bacterium. RNAcentral's name for it is "partial 16S ribosomal RNA". It matches the Rfam family "Bacterial small subunit ribosomal RNA", at positions 524 to 776 of the family's 1533-position model. The record is from RNAcentral.